CGGGGCUGGGGGCCACGGCCUGCCAGACGCGGCGGGAGGGCGCCGGGAAGCUGGCCCGGGCCGGGGGAGGCGAAGACAGGGCGGGCUGGGAACUGUGAGGCGAGGGACCCCGGCCCAAGCAGUUCAGCUCAUCACACCGCGCUCGGGAACCACCACGGCCUCCAGGUCGCCACCAGAAGAAGCUCCAGUAUCUUUUUGACCCCAUCUCCUCCCCCCAAGUUUAGGCCUUGCACCAACCCUACUUCUCAUUACCCAUCAUGUGUGUCUCUUCACAUGAUUUCUCUCCUGAUUUUCAG
RNAcentral lists this long non-coding RNA (296 nucleotides) under Cricetulus griseus (Chinese hamster). Its description in RNAcentral is "lncRNA (ENSCGRG00015030960.1)". Lineage: Eukaryota; Metazoa; Chordata; Mammalia; Rodentia; Cricetidae. The record is from RNAcentral.